UUACUCUGGUUUCUCUUCAUAACGCACAAGUCUUUCGCCUUUUACUAAAGACUUCCGUGGAGAGUGACUCCAACAAGUUCAGCCUAUUUUUGGCAGGCUUUGCCGUCUGGCAGAGCU
Molecule: small nuclear RNA, 117 nt
Gene: U5
Rfam family: U5 spliceosomal RNA
About the family: U5 RNA is a component of both types of known spliceosome. The precise function of this molecule is unknown, though it is known that the 5' loop is required for splice site selection and p220 binding, and that both the 3' stem-loop and the Sm site are important for Sm protein binding and cap methylation.
Source: Ensembl